Molecule: ribosomal RNA, 508 nt
Filed under: uncultured bacterium
Lineage: Bacteria
Description: partial 16S ribosomal RNA
Rfam family: Bacterial small subunit ribosomal RNA
Source: RNAcentral
GACGAACGCUGGCGGCGUGCCUAAUACAUGCAAGUCGAACGCUUCUUUCCUCCCGAGUGCUUGCACUCAAUUGGAAAGAGGAGUGGCGGACGGGUGAGUAACACGUGGGUAACCUACCCAUCAGAGGGGGAUAACACUUGGAAACAGGUGCUAAUACCGCAUAACAGUUUAUGCCGCAUGGCAUAAGAGUGCAAGGCGCUUUCGGGUGUCGCUGAUGGAUGGACCCGCGGUGCAUUAGCUAGUUGGUGAGGUAACGGCUCACCAAGGCCACGAUGCAUAGCCGACCUGAUAGGGUGAUCGGCCCCCCUGGGACUCAGACACGGCCCAGACUCCUACGGAGGGCAGCAGUAGCGAAUCUUCGGCAAUGGACGAAAGUCUGACCGAGCAACGCCGCGUGAGUGAAGAAGGUUUUCGGAUCGUAAUACUCUGUUGUUAGCGAAGAACAAGGACGUUAGUAACUGAACGUCCCCUGACGGUAUCUAACCAGAAAGCCACGGCUAACUACGUG